ACGGGAGGCAGCAGUCGGGAAUAUUGCGCAAUGGAGGAAACUCUGACGCAGUGACGCCGCGUAUAGGAAGAAGGUUUUCGGAUUGUAAACUAUUGUAGACAGGGAAGAUACAAGACAGUACCUGUAAAGUAAGCUCCGGCUAACUAUGUGCCAGCAGCCGCGGUAAUACAUAGGGAGCAAGCGUUAUCCGGAAUUAUUGGGUGUAAAGGGUGCGUAGACGGGAAUUUAAGUUAGUUGUGAAAUCCCUCGGCUCAACUGAGGAACUGCAACUAAAACUGGAUUUCUUGAGUGCGGGAGAGGAAAGUGGAAUUCCUAGUGUAGCGGUGAAAUGCGUAGAUAUUAGGAGGAACACCAGUGGCGAAGGCGACUUUCUGGACCGUAACUGACGUUGAGGCACGAAAGUGUGGGGAGCAAACAGGAUUAGAUACCCUGGUA
Molecule: ribosomal RNA, 435 nt
Filed under: uncultured Oscillospiraceae bacterium
Lineage: Bacteria; Bacillati; Bacillota; Clostridia; Eubacteriales; Oscillospiraceae
Description: bacterial SSU rRNA
Rfam family: Bacterial small subunit ribosomal RNA
Source: RNAcentral